Molecule: ribosomal RNA, 433 nt
Filed under: uncultured bacterium
Lineage: Bacteria
Description: partial 16S ribosomal RNA
Rfam family: Bacterial small subunit ribosomal RNA
Source: RNAcentral
AACGAACGCUGGCGGCAUGCCUAACACAUGCAAGUCGAACGAGACCUUCGGGUCUAGUGGCGCACGGGUGCGUAACGCGUGGGAACCUGCCCUUAGGUUCGGCAUAACUCCCCGAAAGGGGUGCUAAUACCGGAUAAUGUCUUCGGACCAAAGAUUUAUCGCCUUUGGAUGGGCCCGCGUUGGAUUAGCUAGUUGGUAGGGUAAAAGCCUACCAAGGCGACGAUCCAUAGCUGGUCUGAGAGGAUGGUCAGCCACACUGGGACUGAGACACGGCCCAGACUCCUACGGGAGGCAGCAGUGGGGAAUAUUGGACAAUGGGCGAAAGCCUGAUCCAGCAAGGCCGCGUGAGUGAUGAAGGCCUUAGGGUUGUAAAGCGCUUUUACCCGGGAUGAUAAUGACAGUACCGGGAGAAUAAGCUCCGGCUAACUCCGUG